This is a long non-coding RNA of Saccostrea cuccullata (small rock oyster), 4427 nucleotides long. RefSeq lists it as uncharacterized. Lineage: Eukaryota; Metazoa; Mollusca; Bivalvia; Ostreida; Ostreidae. The record is from RefSeq and is a predicted model, not a curated record. The transcript is spliced from 2 exons.
UUUUUUUUGGUUUUGAAAAUUUUCAUUCUUAGUUAUCUUUAAAAAAUCAUUGAUUUUUUGUUUGAAAAUAAGAUUUAUUUCUCAUGAAUCCUUAUUUUAGCAAUAUACAUAAAACAAGUGCAUAUUUGGCUAAUAGAGCCUAAUUUUUUCCCUACUGAAAUAAAUCUAGUACAAUUUUCAGUUAACCUUGCACUUUCAUGGGGGCAUUCUUAUUGGUUAAGAAAUUAAUAACAUCAACAACUUUAAAUUUUUGUUGAUAACGAUGAGAAGACUUUAGCCCCACCACUGUUCUAUAUGAGGCAUCAUCAUUGGAUCAUUUCUACACUCGCUGACAUUCGCUGGAAUGUAUAUUUCAACUGUGAAUGAAAAGCUGUGUAAAUUUUAGACGCUAACUAGGUAAAGUCAAGAAUACCACGUCUUACUGAAAGUCUAAGGUUGACAGAGAAUUGUACCAGCAAUCCAGAAAAACCAAAAUAAAUUUUUCUAAUCAAUUAAGACAAGGAAGCUUUUGAAUAGUGUAAAUGUUUUUAAAACAAAAAUGUAAAAUUAGAAUUAAUUACAUACCCUAGAAUACAAAUAGGAUCGUAUAUAAAAAUUUUUUUUUUUUUUUUUUGCUGAAAAUGUUUUUUAUAUAGAUGUUAUAUAAGGCUUUUAUAUGUCAGAAAAUAUCAUUGAAUAUGAUGCUUCUUAAAACUGAAUUUUAUUGAAAUACCAAGUUUAGUCAAGUUAAUGAUCAGAGUUGGUAACCAAGAUUUUUUCUACAUGUUAUUGAGGAAAGUUGUUUUUUUUUUUUUUUUGUUGUUUUUUUUUUUAUCUCACUUGAGCCAAUAUUGCUGAAUUUUGUGUGCAACACAUUCUUCUAUAAAACUUGACUCCACAAUACCUUUUGUUCCAAUUCAGCCAAGCAUGAUUAUCAUAGUUAAAAAUGCAUAUUUGGAUUAAGGAAAUUUAAAUAUUCAUAUAAAAUACUAUACUCUUGCAAAUUCAUCUCCUACAGUGUGUAUAUUUUAAAACAAAAACUAUAUUCAAGCUUUUAAAUAGAACGGAGAAAGAUAGUUUGUGGCCACAAUAUACUAGUAUACUCAAGAGAGCAUUAUUGCCCCUGCCUUUGAAUUUUUCCCUUUUAUUGCAUACUGUUGAAUCAUUUUUGCUCAUUGGGAACCAAUGUUCAUGGAUUUUGUGAUCAUCCAUGUCCACAAACAUACAUAUCCACAAAGUAACAUCCCCAUAAACAAUUUUUGUAUUUUUUAAAUUGCUGUAAAUGUAUAACAUUUAGCAGUGUAUUCUUUUCAGCGCUUUUUCAUGCAAUGAAGUUUCCGCUAAUUCAAGUACAACACUACCGGUAAAUGCCUUGCACAUAUUUAAAUUAAUUAUAAAAACAUAAAGAAAUGUGCUAAAUCAAAUCCAUGCUAAAUUGUUCAAAAGUCAAUUUCUGACAAAUAUCGUACACACUAAAUACAUGUAUAAAACAUUUACAGGAUUUGAAUAAAUAGAAUAACAUUCCCACCAACCAACAAAAUUUUGUUUAUCCAUGAUUAUUGACCUUCACUAAUUUAAAAAAUGAUUUUAAGGUACGUAGUUCAAAAAACCUUUAAGCAGUUGGUAUCUUUGAUAGGAUUUUACAUUGAAAACAUUGUAGUAAAGCCUCUUAAGUGCUAUUUAAUCCAUAGAAAAUUUGGAAAUUGCUAGACUAGUAUACUUGAAAUAUGUUUGAUUUAAUCUAUCCUAUCUUCAAAUUAAUGAAUACAUCUCACCAAGCAAAUAACCAAAAUAAGUCUGUUUGUCAGUAGUCAUGAAGUUGCACUGAUUCAUCAAAGCUAUGUUCUUGUGUUGUUGUGAUUUAUUUUUUCUCUGCAUUACCAUAUCAAAUGGGAUUACCAGGUCUCUGAAUGCAUGUGUAUUAACCAAAAUAAAUUUUACCUUUUCAUUAGAUAAAAAGUAACUGUUACAUGUAGUAGUAAUAAUAUUCUAACAAACCAGCCAUGUAUAAAUAAAUCUUGCAUGAAGAAAGUGUAAUUGUCAUGAUAUGUAGUGCAUGUACGUUAUGAACAAAGAAAUAACAAAAAAAUAAAAGGUAGAUCAAAAUAAUAAAAACACCACAACAUGUUAAAUUUCUACAUGUACAUUAUUAUUGUAUGAAAUCUUUAUAUGUGAUACACAUUUAUACAUUGUAUUACAGGAAGUCUUUCAGUAUGUCUUUCAUUUCACUUUAAACAGUACUUAAAUAAAUAUAUGGCUAUAUUAUAUUAUCAAGUACAUGUAAAUGAGAUAUAUGUUAUUUCAGAUAAUCCUAAAAAUGUGGAUGUACUCACAGAAUUAGAUUUCACUUCUAAUAUCUACUUCGACUGCUUAACCUCAUAUCAAUAUUUACCUUUUUUCUCUUCAUAUCUGUUUUAGUGUACAUGGAUAUGUUUCAUUUAUUUCAAAGAGAAGACGGUGUUAUUCUGGAUGUUUUUUUUUUUAAUGUUUUUUAAUUGUUUUGAAAAUUAUGCCUCCUUAUAGUGUUAAAUAGUAAGAAAUAAACUAAUUUGGCAGGAAUUUAAGAUGCAUCAUUGUGAAAAACUUAAAAGGACACUGAAAUAUUUCAUGUAUUAAAUGUACAUUUAGAAAUUUUUUGAAUGGGAUUAUUUUAUGUUUUUCUGCAUAAAUUUAUGAUGGAAAUUUUUAGAAAAUACAUUUAAGGUUUUAAAACCCUCUGCUCACUCAUAUAAAAAGUUGCUUGAACCUUAAUGAAUUUCUAAAAGAAUUGUAUUUUAUAAGUAAAAUACAAGCAUUUAAAGCAAAGCUUGUGGGGUAAAAUUGGACCAAAAAGACACUUCAACUUGACAAAUCUGUAAAGGGGUAAUAGACAUAUAUGUCAUUAAGAGUUAUCUCUCUUAUCAGCAGUAUCAAUGAAUCUUUUAACCUUAAGACUUGCAUUGACAAAUGAGAGUUUCUGUGUAAUUUCCCAUCCACAUAUGAAACAGAUUAUCAAUCCUUAGAGUUAUCUUGCCAUGGAAGAAAUUAUAAAAUUAUUCACCAUAUUAAAAUUUUAAAAUCCCAAGCACAAUCACACCGUAUGUAUAUAAUAUAAGCAGUACUGGAUGCAUUUGAUUAAUAAUAAUAUGACAGAUGACUGUUAAAAUUACUGUAUUUUACUUCUUGUUCUUUUUUUUUUGCCUUUAACAAAUGCAGAAAUCCUUUUAUAUAUAUAGUUUGCAGUAUUGAUAUCACUGAGUUAUCCAUUUUUCUCUUCUUAUGUUAUACCAUACUCAGUUGUAUUUGUUUUUAUAUUUUAUGCUGUUAAAAUGCCUUUUUUUCUCUGUGUAAAUGGAUGGUGCAUAUUUCUGGUGCUUAUUGUUUACGGUAGCAACGGGAAAUUAUUGUAACUGUUUGUAUUGCUUUUAUUUUUAUUGUUUGUAUGUGUAUAUCUUUUGUUCUCUAGUUAUGCACCAACAUUCCCACAUACAUGUACGUUUGCAUUUUAUAUGCUUUUAAAACACAUGUGUUCUAUAGCGUGCAAUUAUUAUAGUAGAAUUCAUUGAAGGUGCUUUAAAGGUUUCCCCCCAGAGUAUUGAAAUAACACAGCUAAAAGACCCAAGAAAGUAAUUCUUUGAAGUAUGAUUACAUAAUAAUUAACAUAAGAAAUACUUAUGCUAAAAUAAAUGUAAAAGAUUUUACUAUUUGUCAUUAUUUACAUAAAUUUACAUUUGAAAAAAAUGCAUUAGUUAUUCAUUGAAUCAAGUUCAACGUGUCUUGAAAAGAAAAAAGAUAAAUUUUGAUAGCAUUAUUAAAACUGAAUUUCACAUUGAUGAAUUAUCAGCGGAACAUUUGGUUUAAAUUGAUGCUGAAUUUCAUUCAGAUUAAAAAUUCAAUUUGUUUUUAAAAAGUAUAUUUUUACAACAUCACAGCAAGUGAAAUUCUUUGCUUUUCACUUACAAAUUAUGAUCAAAACUAUGAAAGGGUUUUAUCAUUGCAGACCCCUCCCCUUCCAAUUUUAAUCUUUGCAGACCCCCCUCCCCCCUCCCCUCAAAUUUUGAAUUAAACUAGGUUAUAGUUAGUAAGUGCAAAAUGUGGGUUAAACUUUUUAAAUCAUGUUAAUAGCCAAAAUGGGGAAAAAAAACAUACUGCUUUCAAAUGCUUAAUUCUUGCCUUUUUUUAAUCAGAAUUGUAAAACUAUGAGAACAUUUAAAAUGCUUGAUUUUUUUUAAUUUUUUUUUUUUUUUGGGGGGGGGGGUAGCUUUUGAAGUAGGAAAUUGAUUAAAUAUUUUAAAAGAUAACAUAUUGUUAGAACAGUGACCCGUUACAUGUAGUAGGCAAACACAGUUUGAAGACAUAUAUGUUGAUACACUCUCUGUAUUGUUAAUUACAGUUAAGGUACUUAGUCUAUGCAAUCAGUUUGAAUUAAAUUUGUGUAUGUGUAAAAUAAAGAAUAUUAGACAAAACAA